AACGUAGGAGACAAACGUUAUCCGGAGUUACUGGGCGUAAAGGGCGUGUAGGCGGUUAGUUAAGUCUGGCGUGAAAGCUCUCGGCUAAACCGGGAGAGGUCGUUGGAUACUGGCUGACUAGAGGACGGUAGAGGCGUGUGGAAUUCCGGGGGUAGUGGUGAAAUGCGUAGAGAUCCGGAGGAACACCAGUGGCGAAGGCGACACGCUGGGCCGUACCUGACGCUAAAGCGCGACAGCAUGGGGAGCAAACGGG
Molecule: ribosomal RNA, 253 nt
Filed under: uncultured bacterium
Lineage: Bacteria
Description: partial 16S ribosomal RNA
Rfam family: Bacterial small subunit ribosomal RNA
Source: RNAcentral